Molecule: long non-coding RNA, 619 nt
Organism: Mustela erminea (ermine)
Lineage: Eukaryota; Metazoa; Chordata; Mammalia; Carnivora; Mustelidae
Exons: 3
Source: RefSeq, a predicted model, not a curated record
UUAGAUGCUGCCUUCUGGGCUCUUUCUCAGUUUUACUUGUGUUUCUCUUCAGAACAAACUUCCUUUAGGGUUCCUGGUGACUUCGUGCUCUCUGUUUUCUCCCUUCAAAAUUCAACUUUCAGAAGAACGUAUGCAAGUAUAACUGUGCACUAUACAGUGAUGCUUUGUAAAUGUUCGUUCUUGCGUGAUAAUGCAGUGAUCCUCAGAACUGAUCUGCUUCCAUCAAGUAGAUUCCAGAGUCCAGGCCCCUGUACAUGUUUUCAGGAAAGUGAAGGCACUUCUAUGCACACCAUAUCUGAAACCUCUACACUAAAGAUAGAAGAAAAAAAAAUGUGUUAGUCCUAAGUCAUUAGGGAAAAUGUCAUUUGUUUUUUGGCUUGUCAGAUUAAGCUACAAUCAGAACGUCUGAGAGUUCCUUGGCUUUUGACUUCCGACCACAAGUUUAUCUCGCCACAGAAGCCAUUCAGGGUGUCGUAGUCCUGGCUUGGGGCACUGGGUUGCAGUGUCCUCUGUGGCAUCUGUCUUGUCAGCCUGGAUGCCUCUCCUGGCUUCAGGCACGUGCAACUGGUUUUAUGGAGCUAGGAUCCUGUUUGACCAAGAUCAAGCCUUGAAAAAGAGA